RNAcentral lists this unclassified non-coding RNA (342 nucleotides) under soil metagenome. RNAcentral's name for it is "partial contains 5.8S ribosomal RNA, internal transcribed spacer 2, and large subunit ribosomal RNA". The stretch from base 1 to 120 matches the Rfam family "5.8S ribosomal RNA", at positions 35 to 154 of the family's 154-position model. The record is from RNAcentral.
GAUGAAGAACGUAGCGGAAUGCGAUAAGUAAUGUGAAUUGCAGAAUUCAGUGAAUCAUCGAAUCUUUGAACGCACAUUGCGCCCGCCAGCACUCUGGCGGGCAUGCCUGUUCGAGCGUCAUUUCAACCAUCAAGCCCCCAGGGGCUUGUGCUGGGGCCCUGCGGCUGCCCGCAGGCCCUGAAAACCAGUGGCGGGCUCGCUAGUCACACCGAGCGCAGUAGCACAUCUCGCUCAGGGCGUGCGGCGGGCUCCUGCCGUGAAACCCCCCACUGUAACCCCAAAGGUUGACCUCGGAUCAGGUAGGAAUACCCGCUGAACUUAAGCAUAUCAAUAAGCGGAGGA